UUUGUGUAAGUCCACAGUGUUAUUUUCUUUCUCUUUCUGUUUUGAAUUGGGCUUGAACCAAAAUUAAGGAUCCAGCCCGUUUCUUUUCGAAGGGCCACGCAUGUUGCCCUCAUUCCGCCCUUUUUCUGUUGCUUUUUCUUCAUCACGAAAAACCUAGAAGCUUCAGGCUACUGCCUUUCUCUUCAACGCAGAAGAUGCAUCUUUGGUGGCGAGAGCACGGAGCGGCGCGACGAGGAUGUCUUGCCGCGGUGGAUUCCGUGAGGGUUCAAACUCCUGUUUAUCUCUUCUCUCUUUCUCGUGGGUAACCAACCUGGAUGGGAGCAUCGCUGGAGCAGCGAUAUCAGUGAGGGGGCGGCGACUGCACGGUAGAGGCGCGUUGAGGGCGUGGUAUUUUCUUCGUGACGGCGUGUGUUGCAGUGGCGACUUUUCGCGGCGCAAGGAUGGAGGCCUUAUUCUUCUUUUCCUCCUCUUCCAAAUCUGCGUUUUAGCAUUUGGGUUGGUUUUUGAUUUUCUCUGCAGGUCUGGGUUUCGUUAAUUUUGGGACUUAGGAUUCCGAUUGCAAAGGUUAGGGUUUGAAUUGGGAAAAAUUAUUUUGGGGUUCCGAUGCUUGCGAUUGCUGUGUUCCGUGAUGGUGGUCGGAGUCGAGCGAGUGUCGUGGUGGUGGUUGCAGCUAGGGUUGCAGUGGCAAGCUGUGUUGGACUGCUAGGCUUGCAGACUAGCAUUGGGUUGUGGUUUGGGACUGACAGAUUAGGGCUGAGUUGACAAUUUUGGAUUCGACUAACUAUUUGGGCUGCAGGCCCAAAUGUUGAACAGAAACGUAAACAAUGGACAAUAAUAAUCUGAAUUAAUUGGGUUAGCUAUGCCGUGUACAGAAUUCAUAAUAAAUUCAUAAUUAUUGACUUUAAUUAAUAAAAUUAAAGUGUACAGAAUUCAUAAUAAAUUCAUAAUUAUUGACUUUAAUUAAUAAAAUUAAAGUGUAAAGGGAAGAUGAAAUCAUUAAUUUAUAAUAUUAUUUGUUAUGAUUAUAGGAAG
Molecule: long non-coding RNA, 1032 nt
Filed under: Vigna radiata
Lineage: Eukaryota; Viridiplantae; Streptophyta; Magnoliopsida; Fabales; Fabaceae
Description: long non-coding RNA (VRAD_LNC001293)
Source: RNAcentral